RNAcentral lists this ribosomal RNA (457 nucleotides) under uncultured bacterium. RNAcentral describes it as "bacterial SSU rRNA". It matches the Rfam family "Bacterial small subunit ribosomal RNA", at positions 28 to 507 of the family's 1533-position model. The record is from RNAcentral.
GACGAACGCUGGCGGCGUGCUUCAUACAUGCAAGUCGAACGAGAAGUUACCUUCGGGUAAUGGAAAGUGGCGGACGGGUGAGUAAAAUGUAGGAAAUCUGCCCUUAAGAGGGGGACAACAGAGGGAAACUUCUGCUAAUACCCCAUAUGAGCGUAGCUGAAAUGCUAUUCUUGAAAACUCCGGUGCUUAAGGAUGAGCCUGCAUCUGAUUAGCUAGUUGGGGGUGUAAUGGACCACCAAGGCGACGAUCAGUAGCUGGUUUGAGAGGAUGAUCAGCCACAAUGGGACUGAGACACGGCCCAUACUCCUACGGGAGGCAGCAGUAGGGGAUAUUGCACAAUGGGGGAAACCCUGAUGCAGCAACGCCGCGUGAGGGAGAAGGUUUUCGGAUUGUAAACCUCUGUCUUUGGUGAAGAAGAAUGACGGUAGCCAAGGAGGAAGCUCCGGCUAACUACGUG